Clupea harengus (Atlantic herring) is the source of this 2491-nucleotide long non-coding RNA. NCBI's taxonomy places the organism in Eukaryota, Metazoa, Chordata, Actinopteri, Clupeiformes, Clupeidae. The record is from Ensembl.
CUUUAUUACAUUUUAAAUAACAGUACAUUUUAAUAUAGUAUCUAUCUUGCAUCCAUCUCUCUGUUGUACACCGACAGACUGAAAUAAAAUACAAAAGGUGAGAGUAUAGGGCUCCAGGAGGAUGCGGAGGUCUACAGGUUAAUAAUGGAGAGAAAGGGGGGAAAUUCAUCUGGAUUCAACUGCAGUUUAACUCUUUUUCUUUUUUAACCAAUGGCAGCACACAGAAAUACAUCACAUUUAUUGUACAUUAUCGCAGAGAAAUAAAACGAUAAAAAAAAAAGAGUCACAACUAUCAAAGAAAGUGCAUCUGUUUACAGUGGGAAAAAAAGAAAAAUCUGCCAUUCAGAUGCCAACCCCAAAUUAAAACGCCACAUGAAAUCCUUGUCUUUUGCUUUUUUUUUUUCUAUGAACAUAAUAAUAAUAAUAAUAAUAAUAAUUCCCAACCCCCAAAUUUUGCUCCAUUUUCAAAUAGAAAAGUGUGUGAGUGGAUAGGUGUUGGGGGGGGGAGGAGUAUGUGAAUCGUGAAUUUGUUUCACUAGAACUUUGAAAAAAGAUCUUUAUGGGGACCCAGUCAUUGUUUUUUUUUUUUUUUUAAAAAAGGAACGGAAAAAGCUUUUCUUUCUUAUCAGGAAGUUUGUAUUUAGAGUGUGUAAAAGGCUCUCUCCCCCUACACUCAGGUGCAUAGCUUUGCCAGGAGAAGGUAGGUGUGUCUGCAGAAGCCAAACCAUUUGAGAUUAUGCUGUGACUGACUCGAGGGGUUAAUAAGUUAUCCCCGAAUGAGAUUCUGAUGUACGACAAACCGUAUGCACUUUUUCUUCUGAAGCAAUUGUACAGCAUGCGACUAUAAGUUCAACUCAUGGCAGAUUCAAACAAGAAAAUAACGUUUACGCUUAACUUAAAUUUUUUCAGUAUCAUUAUUUUCAGACAUUGAUUUGUACAACAUUUCAUUCACAGAAUAGGAACUGCAUUUCCAAGCACAGGAAGGGCCAUCUCUUGUUAAACCAUCAUUCUGAAAAUGGGUGUGUAAAAAGGGAGGGAGAGAAAAAGAGAAAGAAAGACAACAUAUCUAAUCCCAUACUACAGUGUUCCCAGUUUUUCAUCCAUAACCACACCCCCAAAAAUUCAACAAAUACAAAAUCUAUCAGAAAGGGAGUUCAUAACAUAACCUUUUACGCUGCAUCACCCAAUGAAAUGAAAAAAAAAAAAAAAAAGACUUUUAAAAAUCAUUUUGAUGUCUUUUUUUUGUUUUGUUUUUCUAGUUAAAAUGCGCAUUUCAAAUGUGAUAAAACAUGUGCUUGGUUAGUAACGCUUGCGACGUUAGUCAAGUUUCUUUAUUGUGCAAACAAAGCGGUGACAAGACAGGAAAGGAAACAGCUUGAAUACAACGCUGUGUUUGCGUGCAAGUCCGAUACUCAUAUUUACAGGAGGUCAUUUCUGAAUGGACUACGAGAGUACCUCAAGACUUGGAAACAGUAAAAAUAUUCAAAAGAUAUGGCAUUUUGCUCGGUAUUCAGAAAUGAGAUUAUUUUUAAUCACUCUGAUUAAAAUCAACUAAUGCACAGAUGAUCACAUUUUUAAAAAGCUAAGGCUGUAUUUUAUAAUCAUCAGCAAUGGUUGGAGGGAGAUGAUGGCCAACAGGAGCUUUACAGAGCGAGCUGGUCAGAUUGACCUUUUUUCCUUUCUUUUUUGGCCAGACUCAAGAGGAUCAUGAUUGACAUGUGGGCGGGGCAUGUUUAUGAACUUUGCACACACUCGUAAAUGCACCAUAGAUAGAUGAUUGGCAUUCUUAGAAAGCUGCUCGUGCACUCUCUUUUUCAAGCUUCAGCAUCAAUAUUACCUUUUUUUUUUGUCUUUUUUUUUUUUGUUUGUUUUAUCUUUCUCAUACAAUUUAAUUGGAUUAAAAGAAAUGCUAGUCUUGAACAUAUUUAAAGAGAAGAAAUAUGACAAAAACAAAUUACUACUAGAAAUCAUACGUCUGAGAAAUGAGCUUUUCACAAAAAAGUUAAAUAAUUUGUACAAUUACACUCCAACAUUUGCUUUCUAGACACAUGAUAGCUAAGCAUGGGGUGGGGGUGAAACUGAAUGGUCCAUAAAAGGAAUGCACAGUUAUUCAAACUGAUACCACAGGAAUUCUUCUUUCUCACGUUAGCCGGGUGAUCAAACUAAUUGUGCUCUUCUUUGUGGAGGAAAGGCAUUGGUUUCCCUUACAAGUUUCUGUUGUUGUUGUGGUUGCUGCUGUUGUGUUCGAGUCAGUUCUUGUUUUUUUUUUUUUUUUUCCUUUUUCUUGUUUUUUUUUUUUUCCGGUGUUCUCGAGAAGAUGCUGUGAAAUUGAACAUUCUAAAGUUGGAAUGGUCUUCCAGUCAACUUUGGAGUUUAAAUGACAUCUGAGGGGAAGAAAGACCACACAAUGAGCAACAAGAGAUUGAUAUGCGCACACACACAUCCAACAGCUCCAUUGUUUUAAACAGCUAGAACAAAGUCCUCCUUUAUC